UGUUUUGCGCCGUGGUGUGAUUCACACAGAUGCUAGUAAAAAGGUCUUUCCAUGGCAUCUUUCAAAACAUCAAACCCUAAACACUCAUUCAUCUCCUUUCAUCGUGUAACCUGUCCCACAUUCCUCUCUCUCUCUAUCUCUAGUUUUUUAACCCAAUCUCAAUACCCAAACGAAGAUACCUACGACCCUCCAUUUUCUUUCACCUCCAAAACCCUAAACCCCAAUGACGAAAUCUAGGGAAUAGUCAGAAUGAAGCUUCAUCGAAAUCGAAGAAAGUCUUGGGUUUUCCAUUGAUGAAGAAGAAGUGGCAACGAUUGUUCUCGCCCGAUUAAUUUGGGCUCUCUCUCUCUCUCUCUCUCUCAGGGAUGCAAUCGAUACAAAUUGAAGAUUAUAGACCAAAAUGAAAUCAAUGAUAAAAGAUAUGCUUAUAACACUCUCAAGUUCUUUGAAAACAAUUCAAACCGCCUGCCAAAGUGGUGCAAUGGCGCGGACACCGUGAAGCUCCCUUUCUGCCAAAUUUGAGGGAAGUAUCGGAUCGAACUACAAGGAUACAAUACAAUGGAUCCAUACCUGCAUAUGAAUGAAAGGUGCCCAUCUCUUCCCCCAAAAUACUCCAGGCCUAAGAGUUGCUAAAACAUCUUCUGAUUUGGUUGUCCUGUUUUGGAGUUUUUAUGCCACUGCUUUGUAUAAUACUAGGUUUUUGUAUUAUUGAUUUUUCUGUAUAUCUUUUCUGAUGUGAAGGUUUGAAAGAUUCCAACAUGAUCAGUCGAUGUAGGUUAAUGUUGUCUGUAAAUUUGCUACCACGAUACACAUGGGGAGUAAUGUUAAUUUCAUUGCUGUUUAUAGCACAAUUUGGAAAUUUCAUUGUUCUUGAGGCUUUUGGAGUCCAUGUCAUAUGUUGAAGUCACAGCCACAUCCGAAAUCAAGGUUUCUAUUGCCUUAACACUAUACUAUUGUUCUUUUUGUUGUGCAGAAUAAAAUUGAUAAAUAAGAGGAGAGAAAAGAAAGCUAUUGAAAUUC
Non-coding RNA from Camellia sinensis, 1020 nucleotides. Lineage: Eukaryota; Viridiplantae; Streptophyta; Magnoliopsida; Ericales; Theaceae. The record is from RefSeq and is a predicted model, not a curated record.